Molecule: ribosomal RNA, 515 nt
Filed under: uncultured bacterium
Lineage: Bacteria
Description: partial 16S ribosomal RNA
Rfam family: Bacterial small subunit ribosomal RNA
Source: RNAcentral
GAUGAACGCUGGCGGCGUGCCUAAUACAUGCAAGUCGAGCGAAUGGAUUAAGAGCUUGCUCUUAUGAAGUUAGCGGCGGACGGGUGAGUAACACGUGGGUUACCUGCCCAUAAGACUGGGAUAACUCCGGGAAACCGGGGCUAAUACCGGAUAACAUUUUGAACCGCAUGGUACGAAAUUGAAAGGCGGCCUCGGCUGACACUUAUGGAUGGACCCGCGUCGCAUUAGCUAGUUGGUGAGGUAACGGCUCACCAAGGCAACGAUGCGUAGCCGACCUGAGAGGGUGAUCGGCCACGCUGGGACUGAGACACGGCCCAGACUCCUACGGGAGGCAGCAGUAGGGAAUCUUCCGCAAUGGACGAAAGUCUGACGGAGCAACGCCGCGUGAGUGAUGAAGGCUUUCGGGUCGUAAAACUCUGUUGUUAGGGAAGAACAAGUGCUAGUUGAAUAAGCUGGCACCUUGACGGUACCUAACCAGAAAGCCACGGCUAACUACGUGCCAGCCGCCGCAGUAA